UUGCAAAUUUAAAAUACAUUGGCCUGAGUUGCUCUGAGCAUCUACUUAAAAUCCCAGAAUCUUGCAAACACAGUAUCUUGUUAAUUUAAUUAAAUGUAGCAGCUGACUUCCUUAAAUCAAUGUUUUGCUCGAUGUGGCAUAAGGUGUGGCACUCAGAAAAGAUUCAUCACCAGGUAAGUGCUUUGUAGCUAAAUUUCCAUGUUGUUGAAGCAAUUUUCAUGCCAAGCCUGAGAAAUAAAUAUUCUGGUCUAGAAAAAAUGGUUUAAAAUAAAAUUUGCAGAAGCUGUGUAAUAUUCAGUGGCCAAAAAAAAAAAAAAUUAGCAUACAAUCCAGCAAUUAUAAUCGAAUUUGGGAAAGAAACGCCAGAAUCAUCACUAAAACGUGUUAAAUCUGCAUUAUAGUUCAAGUAACUGUUGCUGAAUUGCAAUAAAUAUUUAAUCAUCUUCUUUUGGCCAUGUCGAGCUGCCUCAAUCAAAGGAAUUCUUUUUUCAUUAUUUGAAUCUUGAAUUAACGUUUUAUAUCGUUCAUCAAUAUCAUGGAGGCUGCUAGGAGAUUUCCCACAAUUGCAGCAAUGGUUCUGGUUAUCCAUUGGUCACACAAGAUGAUUUGCUCCAUAUGUUGUCAACUAUACCAUUACAUGCAUUAGAAUGGAUUAUUAUUGAUCUAGAUUGGGAUCCACAGAUCAGACAACGUCUUUAUUAUUAUGUGAAAGUGCAUGUGUCCCGUGCAUUUCUAUUAGAAACUUAAAACUAGAUAGAUGUCUGGAGAAUAUGGGGUCAUAUGAUCUAUUACUGCUCUAUUUUAUAUUGGUUUCUCUAGCACUUUUUCUAUUACAUUCAUAUCUCCUGGUCUCUCUUGUACGCACAGGUAAGUCGCAUGUUUGUUGAAAUUGAUUACAUACUAGAGAGGAAGAAUGUUGAAUGUUUUGCUUCUCUUUAUGGUUUCUACCAUGUAAGUUCUUCCGUCUGUAGUAGUCACUGCAUUAUUGUUCAUUUACAAGAGUUUUUUUAUCUAUUCUUUGUUGUGAGAUAGAAUCGUCUGUGAAUACUGAAUUCAUGUUACAUAAAAAAACACUUAUGCCA
Molecule: long non-coding RNA, 1082 nt
Organism: Mangifera indica (mango)
Lineage: Eukaryota; Viridiplantae; Streptophyta; Magnoliopsida; Sapindales; Anacardiaceae
Exons: 2
Source: RefSeq, a predicted model, not a curated record